UCGCACACGCUUUCCAUGCCCUGCCCCUUCUUCCAAGUUGCAACUGCUUCCCCCACCGUCCAUUCCUCUCUCUCUCUCUCUCUCUUUCUCUCUCCUCACUCUCUACAACAGGAAUUACUUUACCAACAAAUCCCCUCCCUCUCUCUCUACCCAAAGAUGAACCUCUCUCUUAUUAAUUGAAUGGUACUGCCUUCGUUAGUGUUCUUUCAGAAACCGAACUGGAUUUAUCACACUUGUCGGAAUAUUCCUCUUCUCUCUCCAUUCCUUCUAUUCUCGCAGUCUCCUUCCUCUCAACGAUGAUGAGGGCCCUCAAGACCCGGGAUCGCCUUCCUCUCCGCCGAUUGCGUCAGUAAGGGAGUCCUGCAGUGGUAAUUGGGGCAGUUUUGCUAUUGGUAUUCAAUCUAUUGGCAUCACGAUCAGUGGGAUAAUUGUCUCCAUUUUCCUGGCUGGCGAUGGGUUUGGCUCGAAUUGGAAAUGGGACUAAAGUUUGCGAACGUAUGGCAAGUAGAGAUGCAUCAGUUUGUGCUUACCAAUUAGCUCUAUUGCUGUGUCCUGUGGUUUCUGUUUGGGAUUGCGUUGUUAGGAAAAUGAGAUAUUCCUUCAUACCUGAGUGGGUGUAGCUAGUUCACUCCAAUCGAAUUUGGGUUUCCUUAUUUUAAAUUUUUUGGAUUUUUGUUAUAAAAAGUCGUUUGUCCCAAGUCCUUAAAGACUGUAAUCUAUUUCUAAGGGGAAUGAAAAUCAAAAGAAGGUUUUUAUGGUUUUAUUCAUAUUGGGGGGAAAUUAAGAGCUAGAUAAGUGGAUGAGUGUGCAUAAAAGGACAGUUUCUCAGUGGUUCCUUUACAAAACAUUGAUUAAAUAAGACAAGACAGAGCUAGCAAUCAUGGAUAGUUCUGCUUGUGUUGCAUCAGUUGUAAGGAAAGAGAAAAAGAAGCAGGGGAAAGAUGAAGUGGACCGCAUAAAGCAAGCCGAGAAGAAGAAGAGGCGUCUCGAGAAAGCACUUGCUACCUCCGCUGCCAUCCGAUCUGAGCUUGAAAAGAAGAAACAGAAGAAAAUUGAAGAGCAAAAGCGUCUCGAUGAAGAGGGUGCAGCCAUUGCUGAGGCAGUGGCUCUUCAUGUCCUAUUGGGUGAAGACACCGAUGAAUCCAAUCAAAUUCUUCUUAACAAGAAGCAAGGGUUAAAUGUUGGCCUUGAGCGCAGAAAUGUUGGCCUCUUCAUGGGUGGAUGGAGAAAGGCUUUGCCACAGCAAAGCUGUGCAAGAUACUCUGUUGAAGGACUUGGGUGGUUUUCCAAUUCGAAUGUUUCUGAAUAUAAGUGGAAUAAUUGGCAUAUGGGUCACUUUGGGUCACCUCAAAUAACUGAGAGAGAUGUUUCCUUUGCUGGUGCGAGGCUGCUUGGUGUUGGCAAUGGACCUGGUAUGCUCAUGAAUGUCUGUAUGGAAAGAAGGGGGCUCUGUCAUGAUGAGAGAGGUUGGGGAAAAGAGAUCUCGGUUGCAGCUCAGGCUGUUUCUUCUCUUCGAAUCGCAGAAGAAGUACAUGCAGUGAACCUGAGUGGUAAGUGACCAUCAUCAAUGGUUAUAGAUGGGAUAUUGGAGGGUGGCAGUUUGAAGAUCAAGCGCAGUCUUUGUAGUAAAGUAUGAGUCCUAUUGAUUAUUCCCUGGUAAGUUUUAUGUAUUUUAUCAUGUGUGUUGCUGUGUAGUUACUAGCAUUAGUGUGUAUUUUCCAAUACUAGUGAGUGGGAUGGGUCAAAGUUUGGAGGUCCUUACGCCAUCAAAAAAACACAAAAAAGGCUUGGAGGUCCUUAUUGAUUUCUAUUCACUGGUGCCUAACUUCUGGACUUCUAUAGCAUGCUAUUAAAAGGUAUGGUUUCAAUGUGUCAAGGAAUGCAACUUGGUUUGAGUUAUUGCUGUUAGCAUCCAAGUUAUUUGUUCAUGGAACAUGCAAGGGCCACAAGUUUCCCCAUAUGCCUAAUGUCAUAUGCAAUCUUAUGGAACACUAAGUGAGAAUAACAUAUGGUGGUUAUUAUGAACUUCCUACACUCUAGAACUUGCAGCUUAUGCUUUGAGAAGAAGGUUUUUAAGGCUGUUUGAAAUGAAAGGUAUAGUUGUUUCAUUUCAGGGUGUUUAAUCUAUCAAGCAGUGUCUUACUACUUGGUUCAGCUGCAGAACUAGGCCCCUGGUCUGGCAGAGUUACUCACGGAAGUGCGAGUUGACUUGUCGGAGUCUGUGCUGAGCUUGAAAGAAGCCCCACCCCAAAAAAGAAAAAAGAAAAAAGUAGGAAAAACCCUGAAAAAGCAGCGAAAGUAGAAAACUAGUAAAAAAUAAAAGCCGAUAAAAGUUGGAAAAUGAUACUAAUUUGAUGACUUUACAGUGAAAUUUUCAGUAUGGAAAUUUUUGUAAUAGCCUUAACAUAUAUUUUCAUCUUUAAUUGUAAAAUUGAAAGAUUAAAAAAUAGUGUAGAUCGAGCAAACCUAUGAAAACUUGAAAAUCUUGAAAAUUGACGGUCAAAAAAUGCGUUACAAGAUGCACUAUUUUCUAAACUUUAAAUCCAUUUUUUUCUCAUCUCCAUCCAUCGUGAUGUCAAGAUGAUCAAUUUGAUGAUUUUUGGGCAUCAAAACAACCUCUUCUAGUGAAAGUUUUGAGGUAGGCUGUAAUUUGAUUGUUUUGAGCCUAGGCUCUAUAUAAACUUUUCCUAAUAUAUAUAUUACCUCUGAGUCUUGGGGGUUUCAGGGCUUAGCAGCCUGCUAAGCCUGAGUAACUUGGGUGAGUUGGACUUGCCCAAGUUUGCAAACAUUGCUGUCAAGGCAUAUGUACUGUGAUUUAGUUGGAAUACUAUGGCUCAAUGGUGACAAUGGAAAUCAGAAACUGAUGGUAUCCUGAACAUUUGAUUCACAUAUUGGAAUAUGGUUAAAAUGUUAUCAAA
Molecule: non-coding RNA, 2918 nt
Organism: Amborella trichopoda
Lineage: Eukaryota; Viridiplantae; Streptophyta; Magnoliopsida; Amborellales; Amborellaceae
Source: RefSeq, a predicted model, not a curated record